UACGAAGGGAGCUAGCGUUGUUCGGAAUCACUGGGCGUAAAGCGCACGUAGGCGGAUUUGCCAGUCAGGGGUGAAAUCCCGGGGCUCAACCUCGGAACUGCCUUUGAUACAGCAAGUCUUGAGUUCGAGAGAGGUGGGUGGAAUUCCUAGUGUAGAGGUGAAAUUCGUAGAUAUUAGGAAGAACACCGAUGGCGAAGGCAGCCCCCUGGGCCAACACUGACGCUCAGGCACGAAAGCGUGGGGAGCAAACAGG
This 253-nucleotide ribosomal RNA is filed under the name uncultured bacterium. Its description in RNAcentral is "partial 16S ribosomal RNA". It matches the Rfam family "Bacterial small subunit ribosomal RNA", at positions 524 to 776 of the family's 1533-position model. The record is from RNAcentral.